This 82-nucleotide transfer RNA is filed under the name Candidatus Magasanikbacteria bacterium RIFOXYC2_FULL_39_8. RNAcentral describes it as "tRNA-Leu". It matches the Rfam family "tRNA". From Rfam's summary of the family: Transfer RNA (tRNA) molecules are approximately 80 nucleotides in length. RNAcentral also lists the same sequence under 1 other name. The record is from RNAcentral. Lineage: Bacteria; Candidatus Magasanikiibacteriota.
GCCCAGGUGGCGAAAUUGGUAUACGCACUACCUUGAGGUGGUAGCGGGGAAACUCAUGCGGGUUCAAAUCCCGCCCUGGGCA